This 520-nucleotide ribosomal RNA is filed under the name uncultured Glomus. Its description in RNAcentral is "SSU rRNA". It matches the Rfam family "Eukaryotic small subunit ribosomal RNA", at positions 569 to 1088 of the family's 1831-position model. The record is from RNAcentral. Lineage: Eukaryota; Fungi; Glomeromycota; Glomeromycetes; Glomerales; Glomeraceae.
AGCAGCCGCGGUAAUUCCAGCUCCAAUAGCGUAUAUUAAAGUUGUUGCAGUUAAAAAGCUCGUAGUUGAAUUUCGGGACCAAUCUGCCGGUCGUGCCUCCGGUACGCACUGGUUUUAUUGGUUUCUCCCUUCUGACGAACCAUGAUGUCAUUAAUUUGGUGUCAUGGGGAAUCAGGACUGUUACUUUGAAAAAAUUAGAGUGUUUAUAGCAGGCUCACGCUUGAAUACAUUAGCAUGGAAUAAUGAAAUAGGACGUUUGACCCUAUUUUGUUGGUUUCUAGGAUCGACGUAAUGAUUAAUAGGGAUAGUUGGGGGCAUUAGUAUUCAAUUGUCAGAGGUGAAAUUCUUGGAUUUAUUGAAGACUAACUACUGCGAAAGCAUUUGCCAAGGAUGUUUUCAUUAAUCAAGAACGAAAGUUAGAGGAUCGAAGACGAUCAGAUACCGUCGUAGUCUUAACCAUAAACUAUGCCGACUAGGGAUCGGAUGAUGUUAAUUUUUUUAGUGACUCAUUUCGGCGCCU